AUCAUGCCAGAUCUCUCACCCGAUGCCGUUUCAUGACCAGAUCUGUGAGGAUGAAGGUCUGCAAUCCUUGGGGGACGGAAGAGAGUGAUGGUGGUGAUGAUCCGGUUACAGGCUUUGAGAAAGACCCUGCGAUUGAUGAAAAGGGAUAUGAGAAAGACCCUGUGAUUGGAUCAGACGUAACAGAUCAGACGUUCUCAGCGGGUCGCAGGCUUUGAGAAAGACCCUGCGAUUGUUGAAAAGCAAUUCAGGAAGCCACCCGUAACGGAUCAGACGUUCUCAGCGGGUCGCACGCAGACAUUCGCAGGACAAUGAACCGUUGAUGCGUGCACUAUCCAAGCUUAUAUACGUCAACAGUCCAGAUCUGGUACUUUUUGUCGGGGAAGCAUUGGUCGGUAAUGAUGCUGUGGAUCAACUCUCAAAGUUCAAUCAGAAAUUAACCGACAUGUCACCCUCACAGAGCCCUAAGUUGAUUGACGGGAUCUUGCUAACCAAGUUUGAUACCAUAGAUGAUAAGGUUGGAGCUGCACUGUCUAUGGUUUACAUAUCAGGAGCGCCUGUGAUGUUUAUCGGGCGUGGACAGUCUUAUACAGAUCUCAAAAAGCUGAAUGUGAAGGCUAUUGUGAAGGCUACUUAAAUGAGGGUGCACAUGAAGUGGCUUCAUUUAUGGUUUGUUUUCUACACCUACUUCUGUCAAUGUACUCUUCGAGCUUGAAUCUGUUAUUUCAGUUUGUCUGUGUUGAAUCUUGUGGGUAUGGUAGCAACUAGCAAGUGCAGAUACACCCUCCUGAUCAUAGUCGCUCGGUACUAUUUUGGGGUUGGUGUUCUUAGGGUAUAUCUGGGAGACCCAACAGGGUUCUACUAUUGUUGGCUAUGUCAUCUAGAAAUGAACCCGCUAUGUCACCGAAGAUUCUUAACGGAGCUGCUGUCAAAGAGGAAAAGGUAAGGCAUAUCGGUUUUUUUCUGAGAUGCUAAAAAAAUAAGAAGAAAACAAUAAAGCCAACUCACUCAUGCGGAUUAUUACUCAGUCUGAUUCAAGUGAGAUAAAGAAGAAAGCAGCUGAAGGAAUCCUCACAUGUUUGCAGGAUGCGAUAGAUUUUCUCAAGGAGGGACGGGUAUGUAAUAUGGCAUGCUUACUUGUUAUGUUCAAUUUCUUACUAGGUAGAAUACAAAAAAGUUGGUUAAACGGGGUACGGGUCAAAUGGGUCAAAAGUGCAAGAAUUGUAAUUAAAGUUCAUACGUCCUCCUCAAAUGUUUUCAUUUAAAAAAUAAGUAUUUAUUGAAAUAAUAUAAUCUUUUAUUCAUAUAUAACACUAUAUUCUUAUUAAUAAUACUAAAAAGCUUGACUGAUUUACUACUUACUAGCACAUGUGAUAUUUACUACUUACUAGCACAUGUGAUAUUUUUUUUUCUUGAAUGGGGCUAUAUUAAUAUAAAAGCUUGACUGAAUCUUAUUGCUGAUGCUUUUUAUGGCUUCAUGAAACAAUUUGUCUGUCUUAUGAUUUACUACUUACUAGCACAUGAUUUCAUAAUAACUUCAUUCAUUUUAGAGCUUAGGUUGAUUGCUUCUAUUCACAAAAUAACUAAUCCCCUUUUGUUAUCGUAUAAAAAUUGCAUUUAUCGCCGCCGCCAAGCAUCGUUCUUAUUGCAUACUUGGAACGGUUCGCCGAAAUCAUGGGCAACUUUCAAGCCAUAUAUUUGUAUGUGGGCUGACUUUAGAUCACUUUUCAAACCUGGCGAGGCGCACUCAAGGCGAUUUGUUGGGCCUAGGCGCUCGCUUUAAUAACUAUGCAGAAGAUUAUGAACUAACGUGAAGAUUAAAGGCGCGAGGCGCACUCAUGGCGAUUUGUUGGGCUCGGGGCAUUAUUUGCGCCUAGGCGCCGCCUGAGCGCUCGCUUCAAUAACAAUUGCUUCAUUUGACGGAUUGCUUGUAGAGUGUGGACUGUUUGAGUGGAAAGGAAAGUACUUGUGGUAUGAUAUGUUAUUAUAACUCUUUUUUUAUCAAUUAAUACUUGUUUUAAGCUUUUUGUGAAAGUUUAUUAUUAAAAAGAGCUUCA
RNA transcript from Helianthus annuus (common sunflower), 2054 nucleotides. It is a transcript of the gene named signal recognition particle receptor subunit alpha homolog, with no coding region annotated. The record is from RefSeq and is a predicted model, not a curated record. Lineage: Eukaryota; Viridiplantae; Streptophyta; Magnoliopsida; Asterales; Asteraceae. The transcript has 6 exons.